GCGCCGUUGGUCUAAUGGCUAGGAUUCAUCCCUCCCACGGAUGAGGUCGGGGUUCAUUCCCCGGCGGCGCA
Molecule: transfer RNA, 71 nt
Filed under: Phytophthora infestans (potato late blight agent)
Lineage: Eukaryota; Oomycota; Peronosporomycetes; Peronosporales; Peronosporaceae
Description: tRNA-Gly
Rfam family: tRNA
About the family: Transfer RNA (tRNA) molecules are approximately 80 nucleotides in length. Their secondary structure includes four short double-helical elements and three loops (D, anti-codon, and T loops). Further hydrogen bonds mediate the characteristic L-shaped molecular structure. tRNAs have two regions of fundamental functional importance: the anti-codon, which is responsible for specific mRNA codon recognition, and the 3' end, to which the tRNAs corresponding amino acid is attached (by aminoacyl-tRNA synthetases). tRNAs cope with the degeneracy of the genetic code in two manners: having more than one tRNA (with a specific anti-codon) for a particular amino acid; and 'wobble' base-pairing, i.e. permitting non-standard base-pairing at the 3rd anti-codon position.
Source: RNAcentral